AGUGAACGCUGGCGGUAGGCCUAACACAUGCAAGUCGAACGGCAGCACAGUAAGAGCUUGCUCUUACGGGUGGCGAGUGGCGGACGGGUGAGGAAUACAUCGGAAUCUACUUUUUCGUGGGGGAUCACGUAGGGAAACUUACGAUAAUACCGCAUACGACCUACGGGUGAAAGCAGGGGAUCUUCGGACCUUGCGCGAUUGAAUGCGCCGAUGUCGGAUUAGCUAGUUGGCGGGGUAAAGGCCCACCAAGGCGACGAUCCGUAGCUGGUCUGAGAGGAUGGUCAGCCACACUGGAACGGAGACACGGUCCAGACUCCUACGGGAGGCAGCAGUGGGGAAUAUUGGACAAUGGGCGCAAGCCUUAUCCAGCCAUACCGCGUGGGUGAAGAAGGCCUUCGGGUUGUAAAGCCCUUUUGUUGGGAAAGAAAAGCAGCAGGUUAAUACCCCGCUGUUCUGACGGUACCCAAAGAAUAAGCACCGGCUAACUUCGUG
RNAcentral lists this ribosomal RNA (492 nucleotides) under uncultured bacterium. Its description in RNAcentral is "partial 16S ribosomal RNA". It matches the Rfam family "Bacterial small subunit ribosomal RNA", at positions 29 to 507 of the family's 1533-position model. The record is from RNAcentral.